GUAACAAGGUCUCCGUUGGUGAACCAGCGGAGGGAUCAUUACCGAGUUUUCAACUCCCUAACCCUUCUGUGAACCUACCUACUCGUUGCUUCGGAGGACUCGCCCCAGCCCGGACGCGGACUGGACCAGCGGCCCGCCGGGGACCUCAACCUCUUGUAUUCCAGCAUCUUCUGAAUACGCCGCAAGGCAAAACAAAUGAAUCAAAACUUUCAACAACGGAUCUCUUGGCUCUGGCAUCGAUGAAGAACGCAGCGAAAUGCGAUAAGUAAUGUCAAUUGCAGAAUCCAGUGAAUCAUCGAAUCUUUGAACGCACAAUUGCGCCCGCCAGCAUUCUGGCGGGCAUGCCUGUUCGAGCGUCAUUUCAACCCCGACCUCCCCUUGGGGAGGUCGGCGUUGGGGACCGGCAGCACACCGCCGGCCCUGAAAUGGAGUGGCGGCCCGUCCGCGGCGACCUCUGCGUAGUAAUACAGCUCGCACCGGAACCCCGACGAGGCCACGCCGUAAACACCCAACUUCUGAACGUUGACCUCGAAUCAGGUAGGACUACCCGCUGAACUUAAGCAU
RNAcentral lists this ribosomal RNA (564 nucleotides) under Beauveria bassiana. RNAcentral's name for it is "eukaryotic LSU rRNA". The stretch from base 205 to 359 matches the Rfam family "5.8S ribosomal RNA". Lineage: Eukaryota; Fungi; Ascomycota; Sordariomycetes; Hypocreales; Cordycipitaceae. The record is from RNAcentral.